Molecule: ribosomal RNA, 196 nt
Filed under: uncultured bacterium
Lineage: Bacteria
Description: partial 16S ribosomal RNA
Rfam family: Bacterial small subunit ribosomal RNA
Source: RNAcentral
ACGCUCGACACCUACGGAGGCAGCAGUGGGGAAUAUUGCACAAUGGGGGAAACCCUGAUGCAGCGACGCCGCGUGAGCGAAGAAGUAUUUCGGUAUGUAAAGCUCUAUCAGCAGGGAAGAAAAUGACGGUACCUGACUAAGAAGCCCCGGCUAACUACGUGCCAGCAGCCGCGGUAAUCUGAGCGGCUGGCAAGGC